RNAcentral lists this ribosomal RNA (301 nucleotides) under uncultured bacterium. RNAcentral describes it as "partial 16S ribosomal RNA". It matches the Rfam family "Bacterial small subunit ribosomal RNA", at positions 509 to 807 of the family's 1533-position model. The record is from RNAcentral.
CAGUAGCCGCGGUAAUGCGAAGGGUGCAAGCGUUAAUCGGAAUUACUGGGCGUAAAGCGUGCGUAGGCGGUGAGUUAAGUCUGCUGUGAAAUCCCCGGGCUCAACCUGGGAAUGGCAGUGGAUACUGGCUCGCUAGAGUGUGUCAGAGGAUGGUGGAAUUCCCGGUGUAGCGGUGAAAUGCGUAGAGAUCGGAAGGAACAUCUGUGGCGAAGGCGACUAUCUGGGCCAACACUGACACUGAGGCACGAAAGCGUGGGGAGCAAACAGGAUUAGAUACCCGUGUAGUCCCUGUCUCUUAUAC